Molecule: transfer RNA, 82 nt
Filed under: Mustela putorius furo (domestic ferret)
Lineage: Eukaryota; Metazoa; Chordata; Mammalia; Carnivora; Mustelidae
Description: tRNA-Ser (CGA) (tRNA-Ser-CGA-3-1)
Rfam family: tRNA
About the family: Transfer RNA (tRNA) molecules are approximately 80 nucleotides in length.
Source: Rfam by way of RNAcentral
GCUGUGAUGGCCGAGUGGUUAAGGCGUUGGACUCGAAAUCCAAUGGGGUUUUCCCGCGUAGGUUCAAAUCCUGCUCACAGCG